Molecule: long non-coding RNA, 3352 nt
Organism: Grus americana (Whooping crane)
Lineage: Eukaryota; Metazoa; Chordata; Aves; Gruiformes; Gruidae
Exons: 3
Source: RefSeq, a predicted model, not a curated record
GUAACUGCUUUUAUGUUGUUGGCAAUUGUAUUUGUAAGGGUGUGAUGACUAAGCUUCACAUGUUUCUAUUAAUACAAAGUUGGCUGUCAUUGAUAUCAAUACUUGCUGUUGCAUAAAGUGAGAAAUACUUUCGAUAACCACUUAAAAAUGGGUAGGAACUUCUCAAAUACACACUGCAGUAUAGAUUUGGUUUUAAUAGUUCUCAGUGGUUCAGUGCCAAGGAAGCCUCAUUUCUGUCAGGGCAUGAACAGCUUGCUUGUUUUUUCAUUAUUUGCCAAUCGCAGUGGAAAUGAUGCAGCACAAAAAACUGCUGACUGAAGAGUCAGUUGUAUUUUCUAGGUACUUUCUGGUUUUGAAAUAACACUAUAGAUUAUCACAAGUGGUGCAGUUGUUUGAAUUCAACUUCUGCCAACUUUUUACACUGCUGACGCUGAGGAGCCAUCCACUGCUGCAGGCAGCCAUGAUUUACCAGAACAGGGGAACAACCAGAAGGACGUGAAUUAACGUGCGCUGGAGCAAGGUGACACAACUCCACCGGUACUAUAAAUCGGCAUACCCCCAUGAACAAUAAUAAAGAUGGUGAGUCUCUCAAUCAAGAACGACAGCAUUUUCACCAGAUGAGGCCUGGGAUGGGGCGCUCUGACAAGCAAAGCACGAUCCUACAGUGCCCUUAGGCAUAAUCUGAAAGCAAGUGCCCCCCACCCACCCUGGAGAGCCGAGCAGACUCACACCCCGGGAACUUUCCAGUGGUUCGCACAGCCCAGCCUCGAGGGGAUCCGCCGGGCUCCGUGUCUGUCCUCGGAAGGGUCACCAUAUUACCUGGGGUCUAUGCACCCAUCUGCACUUCUACCCUACAUUUAGGUAGGACAUUCAGCUUAUGCCUAAAUAAUUAGCAAAGACAUUAACAAAAGCUUGCGUUGGAAAAUUAAAGAACAACAUUUUAUUUGCAAGCAUUGCUCUUCAGUGAUUCUUGUGAGGAGCUAGAAGAUGUAAAAUAUUGACCGGAGAAAAAGGAAAAGGAGGCAACUUCUCAAAUCAAAUAGCUAGUGUUUUAAACGUACUGCAUUUUGUAUAGCAGUUAAAACAGCAGCUGUGAGCUGGUGAAAUAGUAUAACUGCAAAUACUGGACUGUGGGAUGAGUUUGGAAAUAUAUCUAGGUAUAUCUAGGUGUAAAAAAUAUACCUGGUUAUCUAAAACCAAGGUCCACUUACAUCCAAAAUGUUAAACCAAGCAAUAUGUUCCUUGCUUCUCCUUCUGAACAUGGCUCGGUUUACUCCAUGCUUCCCUCUUUGACCUGAGCACCCUCUCAGUGCCUCCAGUUGAUGGGGACACUGUCUUCAAAGCUGACAAGGCUUUCCAUUUCCUUCCUCUGAGCAUUUUUUGAUUGAUUUUUGUAGAAAUUACUAAAAAGUCACGGAUAACAAAACUGCCAUCACCAGUUUUCAUUAGUUCUUCUCAUCUCCUUCUAUUCAUUAGUUCUCCAGACAUUAGCCUGUUUCUGUUGAUCAAUUAUUCUCCUGAACACAUCACAAGGAUUUUAUUUUAAUCCAUGUGCAUUAUUUUACGCUUGUAAUUGACAGGUUAUAAGAAUAGGUAGCAGGCCAUUAAAAAUGUGAAAAUUAGCACGGAUUAAACUGAGCUGUUUCAGAUGCUGUCAAGGUUUCAAACAGCAAAAUACAACAUACUGCCAACUAUGCUAGCUAACUUCCAGGUCCAAUAUGUACUCGAUUCAUUGGCUAGAUGGCCACCAUAGUUGAGCAAAUAUUAUGGGAGAUAUAUAUAUAUAUAUAUAUAUAAAAAAAUGAAGCUUCAUCCAGAGGAAAAAAAUGGUAUUUAGGUUGAUAAUGCCCUGGAAAAUCCUUACAGUGAAAGCAUAAAAUGUAACUGCUGAAGGCAUGAAGUAGUUAACAAAAAACUCCUCUGGAAAACAAAUUAGAAGUGCUGAGAAAAGUUGUAUUGUUGCCUGUUGAAUUUAAACUCAUCCUGCUUAUAGAAAUGUUAAAGUACAAAAUAUGUUUAUGUUACCAGAUAAAGGCAGGAAACAAAUUUCUAGGAAAAUGGGUUCCAGGCAGGAAAGGUGCCUCCAGACUAUCAGUGCCAAAGCAGACAUACUAGAGAUAGACUCCUCUCCCUACCCUACAGGUGGUGAGGGAGAAAUAAGCUUAUUCUGGGGAGAAAAGUUGUUCCUGUUGGUUAAGAGAGGGAAAAAAAAGAAAGAAAAAAAAGGAAAAAAAAUGAAAAAAGAAGUAAAGAAGGGGCUGAAAAGAGCAUUGAGGAAAAAUAAAUCAACUGGUCAGUAAGAGAUUAGAAAGCAGAAUAAUUAUGAAACAAGUAGUUUAUUGCUAGAGACUCCUCAGGGGAAAGUGCCCAUCAAGAAAGUGAAUUGAAAGUUAAUAUAGACAGUGAUUAUGUUGCUACCAAUAAAUUCCACUUUUUAAAUAAAGUUUUGGUGUGGAUAUUAAAUUAAAAUUUCUAUAGAAACAGCCAUCUGACAGCAGGUUGGAGCAGUUCUGAUGAGAACCACAAUGAAAUGGUUCGAUUCACAAAAGAAAAUGAGGAACAAACGUUCUAGCAGAAAGAACAGAUAACAGAAAAGUUCAGUCCUGAGACUGUUUAUAAACAGCAGUAAAAUUAAACAUUUCAGCUUUAUCAAAAUGGACUGUUGGUUUAUACCAACAAUGCAUGAAUAAACUGCACAUGGAAUUUCCAGAAAUAAUUAGGCAGAAGGAAGGAUGAAAUCGGAGCUGACUUCACAGAGUGCGUAGCCCAGCUUUAAAGAAAAUUAGUAACAAGAUCCAGGAAGGAAUCACCUGGAAUAGCAACUGAAAAAAAUAGCAACUCAGAGCAGCUUGUCAGCUGUUCAGAGUGAAUGUACGUAAUGGGCUGCAGAUGGGGGCACGGCAAAGGAUGCUGGGGAGCGCCGGGGGGAUGCAUCCCUCUCCCCUCCCCAGCGGGUGUGGUCCUGCUUGGGGUCCCCAGGAGUUCCUGCAGCAGCGGAGAUACAGUGAAAACUGGACCCUCAGAUAACAACGAAAGAGGAAUAAAUACAGCGUCAUUCUGCCCGCGGAGCAUCCCAGCAGAAGAGCACAUGCCUCAGAGCGGUGAUUUCCCCUUGUGCCUCUGCACUGGCCAGGGUAAGGUAGGAAGCAGUGGAGACAAGGCUGUCCUCUCCCGCUGCCGCCUCAUACGCUCCUACUGACAUGUCGGGUGCUUGCAGUGAUGCAGAGCCUGUUUUCAUGCCUGUGUUGCAGGGAAUACUGUAGGUCGUUAGCACAGAGAAAUAAAGGACAGCUUGUAUUUUUUCUGUCCCCUUUGCUGCUGGAAUUGCUGGGGAACAUUUUGGUGCCAAAAG